GACGAACGCUGGCGGCGUGCCUAAUACAUGCAAGUCGAGCGAACUUGCGGGAGCUUGCUCCCAAAAGUUAGCGGCGGACGGGUGAGUAACACGUGGGCAACCUGCCUAUAAGACUGGGAUAACUUCGGGAAACCGAGGCUAAUACCGGAUAAUCCUUUUCCUCACAUGAGGGAAAGCUGAAAGACGGCGUAAGCUGUCACUUACAGAUGGGCCCGCGGCGCAUUAGCUAGUUGGUGAGGUAACGGCUCACCAAGGCAACGAUGCGUAGCCGACCUGAGAGGGUGAUCGGCCACACUGGGACUGAGACACGGCCCAGACUCCUACGGGAGGCAG
Molecule: ribosomal RNA, 333 nt
Filed under: uncultured Bacillota bacterium
Lineage: Bacteria; Bacillati; Bacillota
Description: bacterial SSU rRNA
Rfam family: Bacterial small subunit ribosomal RNA
Source: RNAcentral